GACGAACGCUGGCGGCGUGCUUAACACAUGCAAGUCGAACGGAAAGGCCCUGCUUUUGUGGGGUGCUCGAGUGGCGAACGGGUGAGUAACACGUGAGUAACCUGCCCUUGACUUUGGGAUAACUUCAGGAAACUGGGGCUAAUACCGGAUAGGAGCUCCUGCUGCAUGGUGGGGGUUGGAAAGUUUCGGCGGUUGGGGAUGGACUCGCGGCUUAUCAGCUUGUUGGUGGGGUAGUGGCUUACCAAGGCUUUGACGGGUAGCCGGCCUGAGAGGGUUACCGGCCACAUUGGGACUGAGAUACGGCCCAGACGACUACGGGAGGCAGCAGUGGGGAAUAUUGCACAAUGGGCGGAAGCCUGAUGCAGCAACGCCGCGUGCGGGAUGACGGCCUUCGGGUUGUAAACCGCUUUCGCCUGUGACGAAGCGUGAGUGACGGUAAUGGGUAAAGAAGCACCGGCUAACUACGUG
RNAcentral lists this ribosomal RNA (468 nucleotides) under uncultured bacterium. RNAcentral describes it as "partial 16S ribosomal RNA". It matches the Rfam family "Bacterial small subunit ribosomal RNA", at positions 28 to 507 of the family's 1533-position model. The record is from RNAcentral.